Molecule: transfer RNA, 87 nt
Filed under: Opitutaceae bacterium
Lineage: Bacteria; Pseudomonadati; Verrucomicrobiota; Opitutia; Opitutales; Opitutaceae
Description: tRNA-Leu
Rfam family: tRNA
About the family: Transfer RNA (tRNA) molecules are approximately 80 nucleotides in length. Their secondary structure includes four short double-helical elements and three loops (D, anti-codon, and T loops).
Source: RNAcentral
GCGGAUGUGGCGUAAUCAGUAAACGCGCCGGCCCCAGAUGCCGGCGGGCGCAAGCCCGUGCGAGUGCAAGUCCCGCCAUCCGCACCA